GGGUGCCAUUACAACCAUUGCCUGAGUCUCUCCAGUUGCACCUUUUAGAACUGUAUCCUGUCUUGGAGACUAUCCAGAAAUAUCUUUGGCCUCGUUUAUGUACACUUGAUCAACGUACUUUGUAAGUUCUUGACACUUUGGCUGCAUAAUUCAAUGACUGUAAUAGAUAUACCGACUUGGAUGCAGUCAGCAGUUCUCCAGUUGAUUUCUACUCACUAAACAUUAAUUGGAUUGGCAAAAUAACUCUAGCUAUAUAUUGAAACUACACAGGUAUGAGCUACAUUACCAAAUGAUUACCUUUGGGAAGGUCUUCUGUACAAAAAGCAAGCCAAACUGCAAUUCAUGUCCAAUGAGAGGAGAAUGCAAGCACUUUGCAAGUGCCUUUGCUAGUGCAAGGCUAGCACUUCCAGCGGGUGAGGAGAAAAGCUUGGUGAGCUCGGAGAUACCUACUGCUUCU
Molecule: long non-coding RNA, 457 nt
Organism: Dioscorea cayenensis subsp. rotundata (Guinea yam)
Lineage: Eukaryota; Viridiplantae; Streptophyta; Magnoliopsida; Dioscoreales; Dioscoreaceae
Exons: 4
Source: RefSeq, a predicted model, not a curated record